Molecule: ribosomal RNA, 468 nt
Filed under: uncultured bacterium
Lineage: Bacteria
Description: partial 16S ribosomal RNA
Rfam family: Bacterial small subunit ribosomal RNA
Source: RNAcentral
GACGAACGCUGGCGGCGUGCUUAACACAUGCAAGUCGAACGGAAAGGCCCUGCUUUUGUGGGGUGCUCGAGUUGCGAACGGGUGAGUAACACGUGAGUAACCUGCCCUUGACUUUGGGAUAACUUCAGGAAACUGGGGCUAAUACCGGAUAGGAGCUCCUGCUGCAUGGUGGGGGUUGGAAAGUUUCGGCGGUUGGGGAUGGACUCGCGGCUUAUCAGCUUGUGGGUGGGGUAGUGGCUUACCAAGGCUUUGACGGGUAGCCGGCCUGGGAGGGUGACCGGCCACAUUGGGACUGAGGUGCGACCCAUACUGCUACGGGAGGCAUCAGUGGGGAAUAGUCCACGAUGGGCGGAAUCCUGAUGCAGCAACUCCGCGUGGGGGAUGACGGCCUUCGAGUUGUAAACCGCUUUCGCCUGUGACGAAGCGUGAGUGACGGUAAUGGGUAAAGAAGCACCGGCUAACUACGUG